GAGUCUGGCAAAGGACAGAGAGCAAAGGGUUAAGGGUGGCGGCCGCGGAGCCCCGGGAAGGAGGCCGACGCCGCCGUCACACGCAUUCCACCGGUAACCCUUCCUGGGCAUCCUUCCCCCCGGCUGCAUCCAUCACCGGAAGCAGCAGCGCGUGCACGUUUCACCCAUUCCAGACAAAGGCUAAUCCUCCAUCACCUCCAGGAGGGGCGGGCAACCGUUUCCGGGAAGGACCAGCCACACAUUUUUGCCAGGUGACUCUGCCGUUCCUUCUAGAUGCAGUAUAUUUGCUCCAUCCAGUGAUGCUGGACUUGGCCACGUGACUUGCUUUGGCCAGUGAAUAUGAGGAGAUGUGAACAUGCCUGGCUAGUCCACCGACCUUAGGGUGGGGAGAGGACCAUGGAGAGGACAGAACUGGCUGAAACCUGCAGCUUAGAGCCACGCUCAACCAAACCCAGCUGGGGGCAGCCGAUGCCCAGGUGAACCAGAGAUGUGUAAGCUAACCCACUGAGCUUGGGGCGACUUGUUACACAGCAUUACUGUGGCAGCAGAUGACAGAUAUGCCUUCAUUACACUAAAAGCUCCUUUGAGACAA
Felis catus (domestic cat) is the source of this 592-nucleotide long non-coding RNA. RefSeq lists it as uncharacterized. The transcript is spliced from 2 exons. The record is from RefSeq and is a predicted model, not a curated record. NCBI's taxonomy places the organism in Eukaryota, Metazoa, Chordata, Mammalia, Carnivora, Felidae.